RNAcentral lists this long non-coding RNA (440 nucleotides) under Carica papaya (papaya). Its description in RNAcentral is "long non-coding RNA (CPAP_LNC006389)". Lineage: Eukaryota; Viridiplantae; Streptophyta; Magnoliopsida; Brassicales; Caricaceae. The record is from RNAcentral.
CUCCAUUGGUCUUUUUGUGUUUUUCUACCCACCUUUACCUCCGUGACGGUGAGAUAUCGUGAUGUUCUUACUGGGCUAGUGUAGCUCACUCCUUAAUUAACCAUUUCAUAUCAGGAAGACAUGGUUCCCGAGCCCGUUCCGCAGGAGGACGACGAAGGGGAUGCCUAGAGACUCUGUAGUCAUACGCAUAGUUUAUUUUCGAGUUUUCUUUCUUAGUUAGUUUAACCUUUUAUAUUUUAAGUACGUUUUUUGGUUUUUCGUGUAAGGGAUGUUAACUGAAAUUUUGAUCUCGCUUCCGCAUUCGAUAUAUUUAAAUACUCAUUUCUUUUUAAUAUUUCCGGGGUCGUUACAGUUGGUAUCAGAGCCGCAUUUCCUCGGACCCAUCCCUUACACUAUAGUCCUUUAAAGAAAUACUCACCGAUUGGUCGUUACUCAACCAU